Molecule: ribosomal RNA, 1343 nt
Filed under: uncultured bacterium
Lineage: Bacteria
Description: 16S ribosomal RNA
Rfam family: Bacterial small subunit ribosomal RNA
Source: RNAcentral
GACGAACGCUGGCGGCGUGCUUAACACAUGCAAGUCGAACGGAAAGGCCCUGCUUUUGUGGGGUGCUCGAGUGGCGAACGGGUGAGUAACACGUGAGUAACCUGCCCUUGACUUUGGGAUAACUUCAGGAAACUGGGGCUAAUACCGGAUAGGAGCUCCUGCUGCAUGGUGGGGGUUGGAAAGUUUCGGCGGUUGGGGAUGGACUCGCGGCUUAUCAGCUUGUUGGUGGGGUAGUGGCUUACCAAGGCUUUGACGGGUAGCCGGCCUGAGAGGGUGACCGGCCACAUUGGGACUGAGAUACGGCCCAGACUCCUACGGGAGGCAGCAGUGGGGAAUAUUGCACAAUGGGCGGAAGCCUGAUGCAGCAACGCCGCGUGCGGGAUGACGGCCUUCGGGUUGUAAACCGCUUUCGCCUGUGACGAAGCGUGAGUGACGGUAAUGGGUAAAGAAGCACCGGCUAACUACGUGCCAGCAGCCGCGGUGAUACGUAGGGUGCGAGCGUUGUCCGGAUUUAUCGGGCGUAAAGGGCUCGUAGGUGGUUGAUCGCGUCGGAAGUGUAAUCUUGGGGCUUAACCCUGAGCGUGCUUUCGAUACGGGUUGACUUGAGGAAGGUAGGGGAGAAUGGAAUUCCUGGUGGAGCGGUGGAAUGCGCAGAUAUCAGGAGGAACACCAGUGGCGAAGGCGGUUCUCUGGGCCUUUCCUGACGCUGAGGAGCGAAAGCGUGGGGAGCGAACAGGCUUAGAUACCCUGGUAGUCCACGCUGUAAACGGUGGGUACUAGGUGUGGGGUCCAUUCCACGGGUUCCGUGCCGUAGCUAACGCUUUAAGUACCCCGCCUGGGGAGUACGGCCGCAAGGCUAAAACUCAAAGGAAUUGACGGGGCCCCGCACAAGCGGCGGAGCAUGCGGAUUAAUUCGAUGCAACGCGUAGAACCUUACCUGGGUUUGACAUGGAUCGGGAGUGCUCAGAGAUGGGUGUGCCUCUUUUGGGGUCGGUUCACAGGUGGUGCAUGGCUGUCGUCAGCUCGUGUCGUGAGAUGUUGGGUUAAGUCCCGCAACGAGCGCAACCCUUGUUCACUGUUGCCAGCACGUUAUGGUGGGGACUCAGUGGAGACCGCCGGGGUCAACUCGGAGGAAGGUGGGGAUGACGCCAAGUCAUCAUGCCCCUUAUGUCCAGGGCUUCACGCAUGCUACAAUGGCUGGUACAGAGAGUGGCGAGCCUGUGAGGGUGAGCGAAUCUCGGAAAGCCGGUCUCAGUUCGGAUUGGGGUCUGCAACUCGACCUCAUGAAGUCGGAGUCGCUAGUAAUCGCAGAUCAGCAACGCUGCGGUGAAUACGUUCCCGGG